Non-coding RNA from Phalacrocorax carbo (great cormorant), 663 nucleotides. The record is from RefSeq and is a predicted model, not a curated record. Lineage: Eukaryota; Metazoa; Chordata; Aves; Suliformes; Phalacrocoracidae.
GGUUUUUUUUUUUGCUUUGUAGAAAUAGCAACUUGGCAAAGUCAGAACGAUGCUGCUAGGCAGUGAGCUCCUCCCCACGCACCUCCUGAGCUCAGAAGCCGUAACAGAAACCGAAAUUCAAUGGGCAAUGCUGUGGGGGGAGGGGCGCCCUCGGCGGGGGACAGCGGGGCGCCUUCCCUAUUCCCCUUUUGGGGCAAUGCACGUUCCUCCAGAAAUCCCGCUCCUGGCUUCACCCAGCAGCACACACCAGCCUGCGAGCCCUGUGUGAAUGCAGCCAGAGGCAGUAUCAGGUGUGUGUCCAGAGGGAAACUGUGAGCCUGCAUUGCCUCCGAGCGCUUCCCUGUGCAGACCCACGCAAUACUACUGACACGCUGUUGUAAGGGGCCGCAGGCACAGUGUGAUUGGCACAAUCCAGCAGCAGACACCAGAUGAGACCAAGAUAAAAGGAGCUACGGUCAUCUGCACCUAGAUAAGAGUCAGAACACCAGUUGAAACUGAUACCUCUUGCAAUACACUGUGAAUUAAUAUGCAUAUAUAUAUUUGUGCAUGUAUGUAACUGAGCAAUAUAACCUUUGUCUGUUGUGACUCGUGGCAUGCAUGCUAGGAGGAAUUAACCCCUGUGUAUCCCGUGCCAUAAUAAAGAAUGCCUACUUCUUAAUACUA